UUCUGCAUCGGGGGGAAGUUAAGCUUUGACAUAUAUUUUGCAAAUGCUUUAUUAAUGUUACCUUCACUGGCUUUUUUUGCGUUUCUGCUUUUGGUGUGCCAGCAGUUAAUUCUACCUUUAAGCUCGUGUGGCCUCUGUGGAGAUGGUUAAUAAAUGUUGGUAUUUUGGCACCUGAAACUAUGCAGCAAGUAAUGCUGCUCUGUUAGUGCCAGUGCCAACAUCUGUUGCUCAUGAAUCAUUGCUCAUAGUUAGAAUGCAUAACUGAGGAUUUGUUUAAAUAAAAAACGCUAUUAGCAGCGGGAUAAAAGAAUAUAAAAAGAAGGUUUUGGCUCCACUGGGAAGAAGGAUGGUUCACGUGCCAAAACGUGCCCCGAGCAUCUGCGAAAGCCCACCACUUACGUGGAGCCGAGGCACACCGCCAAGUGUUUCCCACCUGUUUGGUACCUCAGUUGGGAAUUUGUGUGUCAGCAUGUGCCUGGGGCAUGGUGAAGAGCAGGGAUGGACAAAGCAGUGUCCCAUUGCUGCUCCUUGUGAGCCAGGCCCUGUACCUCUCCUGUUGCUCUGCAAGUGCUGUAGCAACUCGUUCCGAUCCUCCUCUUGCUCCUGCCGGUGUCACUGUGUUGAUUGCUGGAGACAACGCCCAAGUCUUCUGCUGCAGAUCAGCAUGAACUAAGACCAAAGACUUGAACGCCAAGACACUGAACACAGCUUUUCGAGACCGAUGGGUUGUCUGGCCUCAUGUCUUACCUACACCCAUCAAGUCAGCCAUGGUGUUUGGUGGUUUCUCUCCCAUUUUGACAUCCACCUUUGUUUCUUGCUGCCCAAAUGAACUGCUCAGCACUUGAGCAUGAUUUGGGGCAGUAGUUGGGGUAGAAAGAGUUGGGUCUUGUAAGAAGCCUGACUUUCAGGCAGAAGCAGUUUCAGAUGGGCUGCACUAGCACCAGAAAACCCUUUUGCUUUGCUGGUGAAGGAAAAUGGUUCAGAGAAGUCGACAUUUUUCUGAGAAAACACAUCUUAAAGAAAUUGCAUAUUGGGUGGAGACAUUAAAAAGCCACAUAAAAUCUGCAAACAGCUGUAGGAUUUUUAAGAACCUCACAAUAUGGUGUUUUUGUCCCAAGCAGGAGCCCCUGUCGGUGUGAAAGGGGGGCAAAUAAUUUAAUUAUCUCCGAGUAAUUUUCCUGUCUUCCAUUUCAUACUUCCGAAGACGCAGGGGGAUGUGAGUGCAUGUGCGUGUUUGCAGUUAUGUUUUGUUCUGGUGAUUUAAUUUAAGCAGAACUAAAACUCAAAUUGAAAUUAGUGUGAAAAUGUAGUAGCAUUGUAGAGACAGUCCUGAAGGGAAGAAAAAAAAAUCCUUUCCGUGUUGCUAGCUUCAACAGGGAAUUUCCUUUUGUGUUCUGAGCUAAUCUUCUUUAUAGUAUGCCUCCAUUGUUAAACAUUUAAGGACCUAGGCUGCAAAGAAUUGAUUAAAAAUCUUGGCAAUUGCUGUGUGCCAUUAAACUUCAUUUUUGCUGUAACGUACUUUGCUAAUUUGCUAUGAUGUGUUUGAUUUAGUAGUUCAUUUAGCCAUUGCCAGCAGCAUUAGAGGAAAAGGUAAAUUUUCAGCUUGUUGACUGGUUUAAUAAUUUGAUUUAGUCUUUCCUCUUUGACGAGUUUACACCAAUGACAUUAAGAGC
Molecule: long non-coding RNA, 1673 nt
Filed under: Anser brachyrhynchus (Pink-footed goose)
Lineage: Eukaryota; Metazoa; Chordata; Aves; Anseriformes; Anatidae
Description: lncRNA (ENSABRG00000003138.1)
Source: RNAcentral